GCCAGCGUGGGGGAGUGGUUUGAGUUUUGGACUAGGACUCUGAACACCUGGGUUCGAUUCCUAGCUCAGCCA
Molecule: non-coding RNA, 72 nt
Organism: Phrynosoma platyrhinos (Desert horned lizard)
Lineage: Eukaryota; Metazoa; Chordata; Lepidosauria; Squamata; Phrynosomatidae
Source: the annotation of a GenBank genome assembly